GACGAACGCUGGCGGCGCGCUUAACACAUGCAAGUCGAGCGAGAACCAAACCUUCGGGUCUGGGGACAGCGGCGAACGGGUGAGUAACACGUGGGUAAUCUGCCCUCGGUUCUGGGAUAGCCCGGGGAAACCCGGAUUAAUACCGGAUGGCCUCUCGAGCUUUCGAGCUCGUGAGAAAAGGUAGCUUCGGCCUCCGACCGAGGAUGAGCCUGCGGCCGAUUAGCUUGUUGGCGGGGUAACGGCCCACCAAGGCGACGAUCGGUAGCUGGUCUGAGAGGACGAUCAGCCACACUGGGACUGAGACACGGCCCAGACUCCUACGGGAGGCAGCAGUGGGGAAUCUUGCGCAAUGGGCGAAAGCCUGACGCAGCGACGCCGCGUGAGCGAGGAAGGCCUGG
Molecule: ribosomal RNA, 398 nt
Filed under: uncultured bacterium
Lineage: Bacteria
Description: bacterial SSU rRNA
Rfam family: Bacterial small subunit ribosomal RNA
Source: RNAcentral